Non-coding RNA from Sturnus vulgaris (Common starling), 736 nucleotides. Lineage: Eukaryota; Metazoa; Chordata; Aves; Passeriformes; Sturnidae. The record is from RefSeq and is a predicted model, not a curated record.
CCAUAGGCACUUUGUGCCAGAUGCACUGGGAGAUCCACAAGUGUUGCACUCCCAAAAGUAACUUGAAGCUUCCAUGUUCAAAGAUCUGAUUGGGCUGAAGUGUAAUUUAUCUAUUUCAUUUUUAUUUUUAGCUCUCUACCACUUGGAAGGGAGAGUAACAUGUUUUCCUCAAAGAUGGGUGCAGAAUUGGAGCUGGGUCAUGCAGUAGCGUCAUAGCUGGAAAGGGAAUAACAAGUCACUUCCCUGAGAAGAAUUGAUUGCUUGCCAGAACUUGUCUCCUCCUGCAGAAGCUCACCAUGCAGAAAGUGAAAGAGCACACUUACCAUCUUUACCGAGCAGAGGCACUUUCCAUGCUGCUGCCUUUUGAAACAGGCGCAGCUCUGGCUGCUUCCUGGUAGGUGACAUUCCGUGGACAUAGCAUUUCAGGCAGAAGAUAAUAUGUUUUCAUGCACAUUUUAAUUUUUAAAAUGUAGAAGCUGCAAUGCACUUGAGGAUAUUAAAACUGAGUCUGGAUUAAGAAUCUGCAUAAAAGAUCAGAAUUCAAGGUACAUUAAAACAAUGUUAUAAACAUCUCAAAUACUUCUGAAGUGAAAACUUGACUGGCUAUUACAGGAAGUUUAGACUGACUAGCAUGCGAUGCUUUCUCUCUGUAAUAUCUGUAAUCCUAUAUGUAAUGGAGUUUGCAAGAAAAUCUUAUAUAAAAACCUCGAUGGAUGACUUUACGCAAUAAAAAAUA